Molecule: ribosomal RNA, 1407 nt
Filed under: Staphylococcus saprophyticus
Lineage: Bacteria; Bacillati; Bacillota; Bacilli; Caryophanales; Staphylococcaceae
Description: bacterial SSU rRNA
Rfam family: Bacterial small subunit ribosomal RNA
Source: RNAcentral
UGCAGUCGAGCGAACAGAUAAGGAGCUUGCUCCUUUGACGUUAGCGGCGGACGGGUGAGUAACACGUGGGUAACCUACCUAUAAGACUGGGAUAACUUCGGGAAACCGGAGCUAAUACCGGAUAACAUUUGGAACCGCAUGGUUCUAAAGUGAAAGAUGGUUUUGCUAUCACUUAUAGAUGGACCCGCGCCGUAUUAGCUAGUUGGUAAGGUAACGGCUUACCAAGGCGACGAUACGUAGCCGACCUGAGAGGGUGAUCGGCCACACUGGAACUGAGACACGGUCCAGACUCCUACGGGAGGCAGCAGUAGGGAAUCUUCCGCAAUGGGCGAAAGCCUGACGGAGCAACGCCGCGUGAGUGAUGAAGGGUUUCGGCUCGUAAAACUCUGUUAUUAGGGAAGAACAAAUGUGUAAGUAACUGUGCACGUCUUGACGGUACCUAAUCAGAAAGCCACGGCUAACUACGUGCCAGCAGCCGCGGUAAUACGUAGGUGGCAAGCGUUAUCCGGAAUUAUUGGGCGUAAAGCGCGCGUAGGCGGUUUCUUAAGUCUGAUGUGAAAGCCCACGGCUCAACCGUGGAGGGUCAUUGGAAACUGGGAAACUUGAGUGCAGAAGAGGAAAGUGGAAUUCCAUGUGUAGCGGUGAAAUGCGCAGAGAUAUGGAGGAACACCAGUGGCGAAGGCGACUUUCUGGUCUGUAACUGACGCUGAUGUGCGAAAGCGUGGGGAUCAAACAGGAUUAGAUACCCUGGUAGUCCACGCCGUAAACGAUGAGUGCUAAGUGUUAGGGGGUUUCCGCCCCUUAGUGCUGCAGCUAACGCAUUAAGCACUCCGCCUGGGGAGUACGACCGCAAGGUUGAAACUCAAAGGAAUUGACGGGGACCCGCACAAGCGGUGGAGCAUGUGGUUUAAUUCGAAGCAACGCGAAGAACCUUACCAAAUCUUGACAUCCUUUGAAAACUCUAGAGAUAGAGCCUUCCCCUUCGGGGGACAAAGUGACAGGUGGUGCAUGGUUGUCGUCAGCUCGUGUCGUGAGAUGUUGGGUUAAGUCCCGCAACGAGCGCAACCCUUAAGCUUAGUUGCCAUCAUUAAGUUGGGCACUCUAGGUUGACUGCCGGUGACAAACCGGAGGAAGGUGGGGAUGACGUCAAAUCAUCAUGCCCCUUAUGAUUUGGGCUACACACGUGCUACAAUGGACAAUACAAAGGGCAGCUAAACCGCGAGGUCAUGCAAAUCCCAUAAAGUUGUUCUCAGUUCGGAUUGUAGUCUGCAACUCGACUACAUGAAGCUGGAAUCGCUAGUAAUCGUAGAUCAGCAUGCUACGGUGAAUACGUUCCCGGGUCUUGUACACACCGCCCGUCACACCACGAGAGUUUGUAACACCCGAAGCCGGUGGAGUAACCAUUUA